Molecule: long non-coding RNA, 443 nt
Organism: Fukomys damarensis (Damara mole-rat)
Lineage: Eukaryota; Metazoa; Chordata; Mammalia; Rodentia; Bathyergidae
Exons: 4
Source: RefSeq, a predicted model, not a curated record
GCCUCUGUAACGCUUUGCUCCUAGGGAUUUAGCGGGAAAUCAGGACAGCGCUAAAGGUCUUUAAGAACUCUUAUUUGGUUCUCAUUCCUCCAUGUGAUGACAACAACCAUGGUGAGGACGUGGCACGUGAUCCUAAGGUACACUGGUUUAAUUGUGAAGCUUGAAGAACUAUUUCUCUCUGGAAAUUAUGAUUUGGCACAUUAAAUAGAAAUGCAAGCAGAUGGUGGAGUGUGGGACGUGACAAAGUGUGCAAAUCUCUGAUGCUCCCUGAGUCAUCGACAAACUACCGCUUCUGGUGCUGAAAGGGUGCCGUGGCAGUGUGUGCUGGGCUGUCUACUGAGUGCGUAUGGAGAGCAAGUCCCACCUGUAUCAGGCAGUUCUGCUGAAACCAGAAUGGUGACACACUGGGCAUCACACCGUGCUGCUGCCUCUUCUUUUGACAC